RNAcentral lists this ribosomal RNA (496 nucleotides) under uncultured bacterium. RNAcentral's name for it is "partial 16S ribosomal RNA". It matches the Rfam family "Bacterial small subunit ribosomal RNA", at positions 29 to 507 of the family's 1533-position model. The record is from RNAcentral.
AUGAACGCUGGCGGCGUGCCUAAUACAUGCAAGUCGAGCGAACAGACGAGGAGCUUGCUCCUCUGACGUUAGCGGCGGACGGGUGAGUAACACGUGGAUAACCUACCUAUAAGACUGGGAUAACUUCGGGAAACCGGAGCUAAUACCGGAUAAUAUAUUGAACCGCAUGGUUCAAUAGUGAAAGACGGUUUUGCUGUCACUUAUAGAUGGAUCCGCGCCGCAUUAGCUAGUUGGUAAGGUAACGGCUUACCAAGGCAACGAUGCGUAGCCGACCUGAGAGGGUGAUCGGCCACACUGGAACUGAGACACGGUCCAGACUCCUACGGGAGGCAGCAGUAGGGAAUCUUCCGCAAUGGGCGAAAGCUUGACGGAGCAACGCCGCGUGAGUGAUGAAGGUCUUCGGAUCGUAAAACUCUGUUAUGAGGGAAGAACAAAUGUGUAAGUAACUAUGCACGUCUUGACGGUACCUAAUCAGAAAGCCACGGCUAACUACGUG